RNAcentral lists this ribosomal RNA (919 nucleotides) under bacterium enrichment culture clone L55B-68. RNAcentral's name for it is "bacterial SSU rRNA". It matches the Rfam family "Bacterial small subunit ribosomal RNA", at positions 8 to 916 of the family's 1533-position model. The record is from RNAcentral.
AGAGUUUGAUCAUGGCUCAGGACUAACGCUGGCGGCGUGCCUAACACAUGCAAGUCGAACGCAUCUGUGCUUCGGUACAGAUGAGUGGCGAACGGGUGAGUAACACGUGAGUAACUCCCCUUGGGGAGGGGGAUAACCAUCUGAAAAGGUGGCUAAUACCCCAUAUUCUCCUUUUUUGCCAAAGAAAGGAGGAAAGAUGGCGUAAGCUAUCACCCCGAGAGAGGCUCGCGUCCCAUCAGCUAGUUGGUAGGGUAAUGGCCUACCAAGGCUAUGACGGGUAGCUGGUCUGAGAGGAUGGUCAGCCACACUGGGACUGAGGCACGGCCCAGACUCCUACGGGAGGCAGCAGUGAGGAAUCUUGGGCAAUGGGCGAAAGCCUGACCCAGCGACGCCGCGUGGAGGAAGAAGGCCUUCGGGUCGUAAACUCCUGUUCGGGGAGAAGAACAGGAGAGGAGUGAAUAACUUCUCUCCCUGACGGUAUCCCCGGAGAAAGCUCCGGCUAAUUACGUGCCAGCAGCCGCGGUAAUACGUAAGGAGCGAGCGUUGUCCGGAUUUACUGGGCGUAAAGAGCUCGUAGGUGGUUUCUUAGGUCUCACGUGAAAUUCCCUGGCUCAACUGGGGAGGGUCGUGGGAAACCGAGAAGCUAGAGGGCAGGAGAGGAGAGUGGAAUUCCCGGUGUAGCGGUGAAAUGCGUAGAGAUCGGGAGGAACACCAGUGGUGAAGACGGCUCUCUGGACUGUCCCUGACACUGAGGAGCGAAAGCCAGGGGAGCAAACCGGAUUAGAUACCCGGGUAGUCCUGGCUGUAAACGAUGGGUACUAGGUGUGGGGGGUUCGACCCCCUCCGUGCCGCAGUUAACGCAUUAAGUACCCCGCCUGGGGAGUACGGCCGCAAGGUUGAAACUCAAAUGAAUUGACGG